RNAcentral lists this ribosomal RNA (477 nucleotides) under uncultured bacterium. Its description in RNAcentral is "partial 16S ribosomal RNA". It matches the Rfam family "Bacterial small subunit ribosomal RNA", at positions 28 to 507 of the family's 1533-position model. The record is from RNAcentral.
GAUGAACGCUGGCGGCGUGCCUAAUACAUGCAAGUCGAGCGAACAGACGAGGAGCUUGCUCCUCUGACGUUAGCGGCGGACGGGUGAGUAACACGUGGAUAACCUACCUAUAAGACUGGGAUAACUUCGGGAAACCGGAGCUAAUACCGGAUAAUAUAUUGAACCGCAUGGUUCAAUAGUGAAAGACGGUUUUGCCGGCAGUUAUAGAUGGGUCGGCGCCUCAUUGGCUUGUUGGGAAGGUAACGGCUUACCAAGGCAACGAUGCGUAGCCGACCUGAGAGGCUGACCGGCGACCUAGGGACUGAGGGAGGGCACAGGUGGGAAACGUACGCAAAAGGGGGAAAGCUUGCGGAAUGGGCGCAAGUCGGAUGCAGAAGGGCUGCGUGCGGGAAAACGUCCUUCGGGGGAAGAACAAAUGUGUAAGGAACUGUGCACGUCUUGACGGUACCUAGUCAGAAAGCCACGGCUAACUACGUG